AGUGAACGCUGGCGGUAGGCCUAACACAUGCAAGUCGAACGGCAGCACAGAGGAGCUUGCUCCUUGGGUGGCGAGUGGCGGACGGGUGAGGAAUACAUCGGAAUCUACUCUGUCGUGGGGGAUAACGUAGGGAAACUUACGCUAAUACCGCAUACGACCUACGGGUGAAAGCAGGGGACCUUCGGGCCUUGCGCGAUUGAAUGAGCGGAUGUCGGAUUAGCCAGUUGGCGGGGUAAAGGCCCACAAAGGCGACGAUCCGUAGCUGGUCUGAGAGGAUGAGCAGCCACACUGGAACUGAGACACGGUACAGACUCCUACGGGAGGCAGCAGUGGGGAAUAUUGGACAAUGGGCGCAAGCCUGAUCCAGCCAUACCGCGUGGGUGAAGAAGGCCUUUGGGUUGUAAAGCCCUUUUGUUGGGAAAGAAAUCCAGCUGGCUAAUACCCGGUUGGGAUGACGGUACCCAAAGAAUAAGCAUCGGCUAACUUCGUGCCAGCCGCCGCAGUAA
This 506-nucleotide ribosomal RNA is filed under the name uncultured bacterium. RNAcentral's name for it is "partial 16S ribosomal RNA". It matches the Rfam family "Bacterial small subunit ribosomal RNA", at positions 29 to 523 of the family's 1533-position model. The record is from RNAcentral.